AAAUUAUCAAUAAUGAAUUUCCCAUUUGAACUUCAAUGACAAAUCUAUCCCUCCUGCAAGAAUCUAAGCUCCUGGAAACUCUAUCUAAAACCAUAAAAUUCACUAGACGCACAAUCUUGAACUCAGCUCCACAAUCUCGCGAGUUACUACUAGAUCUAAACACCAACAAUAACGCUACUAUAGAGAAAAUAAAGAAAAAUUUAACAAAAUUAAAGCUUAAUUCUCUAAAUAAAGCUCCUAAAAUCUCCCGAAAACAACCAAACUCAACACGAAGAGAAAAAAAUCCACCAUAAACUCACCGCUACUGUCCAUGGCCUGAAUGUCCAUCGAAGCUUCUCCAAACCUUAAAAAACUCAAUGACCUCUGAAAUUGACCGCUUGCUUAAAAAAAAAAAAAGGAACUACUAGCACCUCGCAAUAGUGAAAGAAUGAAAUAUUUGCUAAAAUUCUUCGAAUUUCAAGCCUGAACAAAUACUAAAUGGUCCAAGUAAGCAAAUUCGAAAUUGAGAAAGGUCUUUCAGAAAGACUCGAACUUUGAGCUCCCUGCAGCAUUCAAAACCCAUAAAUUCACAGCCAAUUCUUUGUUGCCCAAGCGAAAAUUCAAUCUUCAACGCUCCAAAAGACGGACAACAGGUGCUUCAAAACUGCAAUUUUGAGCCCUCAUAACGAUUUUGAGAAGGUACGUUGAGUACUUCAAAUUUGGAGUAGUAAUCUUUUUGAGAGAUAUAGGGAUUAGUUUUACGAGAAAUUUGAGGUUUAAAAGAGAAAUUUGAGUGAGAAUUCAGAAACAGAUAUUUGAUUGAGCGAGGAGAAAACGAGCUUGGGUUGAACGAGAGAGGGAAGCCGGACUUGAAAUGGUUAUUGUCG
This 866-nucleotide unclassified non-coding RNA is filed under the name Hevea brasiliensis (rubber tree). Lineage: Eukaryota; Viridiplantae; Streptophyta; Magnoliopsida; Malpighiales; Euphorbiaceae. The record is from RNAcentral.